This 465-nucleotide ribosomal RNA is filed under the name Vreelandella stevensii. RNAcentral describes it as "partial 16S ribosomal RNA". It matches the Rfam family "Bacterial small subunit ribosomal RNA", at positions 338 to 795 of the family's 1533-position model. Lineage: Bacteria; Pseudomonadati; Pseudomonadota; Gammaproteobacteria; Oceanospirillales; Halomonadaceae. The record is from RNAcentral.
CCUACGGGUGGCUGCAGUGGGGAAUAUUGGACAAUGGGGGCAACCCUGAUCCAGCCAUGCCGCGUGUGUGAAGAAGGCCCUCGGGUUGUAAAGCACUUUCAGUGAGGAAGAACGCCUGGUGGUUAAUACCCAUCAGGAAAGACAUCACUCACAGAAGAAGCACCGGCUAACUCCGUGCCAGCAGCCGCGGUAAUACGGAGGGUGCGAGCGUUAAUCGGAAUUACUGGGCGUAAAGCGCGCGUAGGUGGCUUGAUAAGCCGGUUGUGAAAGCCCCGGGCUCAACCUGGGAACGGCAUCCGGAACUGUCAAGCUAGAGGGCAGGAGAGGAAGGUAGAAUUCCCGGUGUAGCGGUGAAAUGCGUAGAGAUCGGGAGGAAUACCAGUGGCGAAGGCGGCCUUCUGGACUGACACUGACGCUGAGGUGCGAAAGCGUGGGUAGCAAACAGGAUGAGAUACCCGGGUAGUC